UAGGGAAUCUUCCGCAAUGGACGCAAGUCUGACGGAGCAACGCCACGUGAGUGAAGAAGGAUUUCGGUUCGUAAAACUCUGUUGUUAGAGAAGAACAGCGCAUAGAGUAACUGUUAUGCGUGUGACGGUAUCUAACCAGAAAGCCACGGCUAACUACGUGCCAGCAGCCGCGGUAAUACGUAGGUGGCAAGCGUUGUCCGGAUUUAUUGGGCGUAAAGCGAGCGCAGGCGGUCAAUUAAGUCUGAUGUGAAAGCCCCCGGCUCAACCGGGGAGGGUCAUUGGAAACUGGUUGACUUGAGUGCAGAAGAGGAGAGUGGAAUUCCAUGUGUAGCGGUGAAAUGCGUAGAUAUAUGGAGGAACACCAGUGGCGAAGGCGACUCUCUGGUCUGUAACUGACGCGGAGGCUCGAAAGCGUGGGUAGCAAACAGG
Molecule: ribosomal RNA, 429 nt
Filed under: Bacteroidota bacterium
Lineage: Bacteria; Pseudomonadati; Bacteroidota
Description: Bacteroidetes bacterium partial 16S ribosomal RNA
Rfam family: Bacterial small subunit ribosomal RNA
Source: RNAcentral